RNAcentral lists this ribosomal RNA (1017 nucleotides) under uncultured bacterium. RNAcentral describes it as "bacterial SSU rRNA". It matches the Rfam family "Bacterial small subunit ribosomal RNA", at positions 355 to 1375 of the family's 1533-position model. The record is from RNAcentral.
UGAGGAAUAUUGGUCAAUGGACGAGAGUCUGAACCAGCCAAGUAGCGUGAAGGAUGACUGCCCUAUGGGUUGUAAACUUCUUUUAUACGGGAAUAAAGUGAGGCACGUGUGCCUUUUUGUAUGUACCGUAUGAAUAAGGAUCGGCUAACUCCGUGCCAGCAGCCGCGGUAAUACGGAGGAUCCGAGCGUUAUCCGGAUUUAUUGGGUUUAAAGGGAGCGUAGGCGGACGCUUAAGUCAGUUGUGAAAGUUUGCGGCUCAACCGUAAAAUUGCAGUUGAUACUGGGUGUCUUGAGUACAGUAGAGGCAGGCGGAAUUCGUGGUGUAGCGGUGAAAUGCUUAGAUAUCACGAAGAGCUCCGAUUGCGAAGGCAGCUUGCUGGACUGUAACUGACGCUGAUGCUCGAAAGUGUGGGUAUCAAACAGGAUUAGAUACCCUGGUAGUCCACACAGUAAACGAUGAAUACUCGCUGUUGGCGAUAUACGGUCAGCGGCCAAGCGAAAGCAUUAAGUAUUCCACCUGGGGAGUACGCCGGCAACGGUGAAACUCAAAGGAAUUGACGGGGGCCCGCACAAGCGGAGGAACAUGUGGUUUAAUUCGAUGAUACGCGAGGAACCUUACCCGGGCUUAAAUUGCAACUGACUGAACCGGAAACGGUUCUUUCUUCGGACAGUUGUGAAGGUGCUGCAUGGUUGUCGUCAGCUCGUGCCGUGAGGUGUCGGCUUAAGUGCCAUAACGAGCGCAACCCUUAUCGAUAGUUACUAGCAGGUCAUGCUGAGGACUCUAUUGAGACUGCCGUCGUAAGAUGUGAGGAAGGUGGGGAUGACGUCAAAUCAGCACGGCCCUUACGUCCGGGGCUACACACGUGUUACAAUGGGGGGUACAGAAGGCAGCUACACGGCGACGUGAUGCUAAUCCCUAAAGCCUCUCUCAGUUCGGAUUGGAGUCUGCAACCCGACUCCAUGAAGCUGGAUUCGCUAGUAAUCGCGCAUCAGCCACGGCGCGGUGAAUACGUUCCC